AGAUUAUGCCGAAACAACGAUAACCAUGAAACAAAAUGUCAACCGUUCAUGUUCGUUUUUCCAUGAUUGACGGACAUUUGAGGUUUUCAGCUUAAAGAGUAAGAUGAUUACAUGAAGAAAAUGUCAACGUGCCCUGAUCUUAAGAAAAACAAAUCAAAGGCUAGGGUUUGUCCAUUGUGCCUCAGUGAGAAGGGGAUCAGGGUCGCCCGGAUCAGACUGACGUAUGUUGUACGAACGAUAUGACAACGCACGAGUGUAGUUCUAUGUGUUGCUUUUGAGCAUACUUCACUGUACACACUCCAAGUGACAAAAGAGGAAAGACCUCAGGCGAUAUCAGGUGCUGGGGGCGCACCCGCACCCGCAACCGCGACCGCCACCGCACGAGAACAUGACCAGGACUCCAGUGACUCGGAGGAGGAGAGGAAGGAGGAGCAGGAGGAGGCUCAGUUCCUCACCACGGAAAACUGCAAAGGUCUACCACCCAGCGCACUAGUAAUGAAGGGCCGACGAAGCUUUGAGGCCUGAUUCCGGCACCUGUCUUCCGGAUGCGGUUGUGAAAUGGCGGCCCCCUGGAUAAAAUAGCGCAGUGGAAGGACGAUCUGGAAGUAGAUGACGGAUAAUUUCAGAUGCAGCCAGGAACCGUAAGGAGCACCAUUGGCUCCACCGUGAUGUUCCUGCGGUGGGCCCAGGACGAGGGGCUGUUGGCAGCCGGUAUUGCUGACGAGGCCGUUCGCAAGCUGCCGGGCUGCGCUGGUGCUACAAAGAAGGCGGCCAUAAGACGCACCGUGGAGCGCAGGGUUCAGGAGACGGCAGGCAUCCCACCAAACAUCGACCUUUAGGGCGAGCUCAAUUCGAAUAUUACAUAACCUGCAUGGAGGGCUUCCGGCGCCUGCAGAGUACUUUCAUCACAUAGGAGGCAUCUUGAUAGUACUGAUGGCCAUGCGCAUCGGCUCCCGCGCCGGGGAGUUCGUUCAACUCCGAAUAUGUAUACUUCCGUUGCACAACUUUAACCCAUUCAUUCAUUCAUUGAUCACAGUAUGUGCAUAUAAAAGUGGGGUUUGCAUUGCAUUGCAGUUCAAGUAAGUGGAACAAGCGCUGCCGUUCCGUGGCGGCCUCCACUUCACUGUGAGCAUCGACGCUCACAAGACAGCCAAGUGGGGGCGCUACGCCUAGUUCCUACUGCAACGGGAGGAGAUAAACCUGCUGCGCCGCUUCUGUGAGGUUGAGGUACUGAUAGUUUACCCAACAGUGCAGGAGCAGAGCCGCAGAGACUGCCAUGUGUUCGGGCGCGGCACGUCCAACCUCGACCUUAACCACAGCCACAUUAACAAGUGGCUGGAGAGAGCAUGGGCGAAGUAAGUAUUUACUUUCUGGAUUGAUUAUGCUAUGUAUCAUUCAAUGAUUAGACAUACAAUGAUUGUUAUGACAAUCACACUUGCCUUAAUAAAUGUCGAUAUUCUUCAGGUUGGGACUAGCGGCGAGAGAUUCCAACAUUUCAGUUCAACCUUAUGCUCAACCGAAAACUGGUCACAGUUCAGGUGCGACAGUUGGACGCCGGGAAGGCUGAUCAGGUCGCGGACACGCUGUGCCACAAGCGAACGACGGCCGAUCAACAUUAUGGCGUCGCUGACCAGCGGUAAGUUGAUGCGAGAAUUACUUUCAAACAUUCGUUCACGUACAACAAACUUUACAUAUAAUUGUCGAGCAUAUACGAACGUUAACAUUCUAUAUUCUUUCAAUUUGCAGGAACAAGACCCAGGGCACUUACCUGUGGAUGCUUAAAGCCAGGAAAGGAGGUUUUGCGACACCGCCACCACCAACAGCCCCAGCAGCCCCGCUGUUGCAGACGAUUGCAACGAAAGCAGCCCCAACAAGCCGCGUCGCUCCCACCGCCACCGCCAAAUGCCCCAGCAGCCCCGAAUGACUCAGAAGAUGACUGCUUUGAAGCAGCCCCCAGAAGCCUCGCCACUCCAAUGGAGCAGAAGCAAAGGUAACCGAUAGCCAGUACUUCCUGGGCAGGUCAGCAGCCAUACAUAGCAUCAUUGACAACGAAGUUGAAAGAACCCACUCCUGUCAAAGUGUAGGGUGCAGUUGUCUGGACUUCCCAGAGUAAACCCUAGCAGCCCCACUGUCUCCGACGAUGACUGCGCCGACGAUGAAGCAGCCCCAACAAGCCGUGCGCCCCCACCACCAAUGCCACCACCACCAGCCCCAGCAGGCCCGCUGUCUCCAAAGAUGACUGCCCUGAAGCAGCCCACCACAAGCCGCGACGCUCCGACCGCCACCGCCAACAUCCCCAGCAGACCCGUUUUUUCCAAAGAUGACUGCUCUGAAGCAGCACCCAAAAGCCGCGCACUUAUGCGUACUUCCGCGAUCACAGACCAGCGACAAAAGCAGUGGUAGCUGUUGGAAGACACAGCAGGGGAUUUAUAUUUAUAUAUAAAUUCAUAUACGUUUCUGUCAAUAUACAUUCAUAUAUAUUUGACAUAUUACACAGUGUCCGCUCCACAGAAAGAGUUGGACAUACCGCUGCGAAGGAAUCGUUAGAGCAGGAUGACGACCCAGACAUAACUUCCGCCGACGGAUAUUGACGAGUCGAAGGUAAGACUUCCCAUUGCCCGGAAGACCUACAAUACGGACCAAGAGACCAAGGAAAUGGAGGAGCUUUUUCGCGACCACAUAGAAUGGGCUGCAUCGUGUAAUAAGACCAUCACCCGGCAGACGGUCCACACUACCCGAGGAGACCGCGUCUCCGUCGGACAACCAGAUCCGAGAGAAACUGAAAAACAUUACUAAGAAAAUAAAUAAAUAUGUCAAAUAUUACUUUUACUAUUGAAAGACAACUGUUAACCUUUAGUCAGUCAGUCAGAAUAACAAAAAGUUGAAGGAGGCGGGUUCCGCGACCGCGAAGUCGAUGCCCCUGGUUGACCGACCAACCGACCGACC
Long non-coding RNA from Dreissena polymorpha, 2946 nucleotides. RefSeq lists it as uncharacterized. The transcript is spliced from 5 exons. Lineage: Eukaryota; Metazoa; Mollusca; Bivalvia; Myida; Dreissenidae. The record is from RefSeq and is a predicted model, not a curated record.